Molecule: ribosomal RNA, 200 nt
Filed under: uncultured eukaryote
Lineage: Eukaryota
Description: partial 18S ribosomal RNA
Rfam family: Eukaryotic small subunit ribosomal RNA
Source: RNAcentral
GCUCCAAUAGCGUAUAUUAAAGUUGUUGCGGUUAAAAAGCUCGUAGUUGGAUUUCUGUCGAGGGUGGCCGGUCCGCACUUUGUGCGUGCAUCUGGUUCAGCUUGGCAUCCUCUUGGGGAACGUAUCUGCGCUUAAUUGCGUGGUGCGGUAUCCAAGACUUUUUACUUUGAGGAAAUUAGAGUGUUCACGGCAGGCAAUCG